CCUACGGGAGGCAGCAGUGGGGAAUAUUGCGCAAUGGGCGAAAGCCUGACGCAGCCAUGCCGCGUGUGUGAAGAAGGCCUUCGGGUUGUAAAGCACUUUUAGUGGGGAGGAAAGGGCGCUGGCUAAUAUCCAGUGCAGUUGACGCUACCCACAGAAAAAGCACCGGCUAAUUCCGUGCCAGCAGCCGCGGUAAU
RNAcentral lists this ribosomal RNA (194 nucleotides) under uncultured bacterium. RNAcentral's name for it is "partial 16S ribosomal RNA". It matches the Rfam family "Bacterial small subunit ribosomal RNA", at positions 338 to 524 of the family's 1533-position model. The record is from RNAcentral.